Molecule: long non-coding RNA, 853 nt
Organism: Gorilla gorilla gorilla (western lowland gorilla)
Lineage: Eukaryota; Metazoa; Chordata; Mammalia; Primates; Hominidae
Exons: 7
Source: RefSeq, a predicted model, not a curated record
GGUCAGUGCAGGGUUCCUCCAUCUUGACAUGAGUAAAUUCUAGAUUAGGUAUUUGGCAGUUAACUCAUCUGGAUAUAUGGGAACAGAAGUGCCAGACACGUAGAUAAUAUUUGGAGAACAGGAGCAGACUUGGAACAUGCUGAAUAGAGGACAAGGAAAUGAGAAGAAUGUAUAUUCUGUGACUGUUGGAUGAAGUGAUCUGUAGAUGUCUAUCAGGUCCAACUGGAAUUAUACUUUGGUGAAGUCCAGUAAUUCAAGUGUUUGGCUAACAAUCAUCAAGGCCACAAAAACCCAGCCUCUGCUCUUGGCAGUAUCAGGAACUUCAUGGAAUACAUCACUUUCAAAUUGCAGCUGCAAAUGGUCUUGUUAAAGGUAUCAUCAGACAAACUUAAAGAUGAUCUGACAAUGUCAUUUUCCAAGGGACUGAUAGAAAGAUUGAGUAUCAUGAAAUCAGAACAGACAACAGAGAAUCAGAUUUGGACUGAAUCAGAAUAAACAGGCAAUGCAGACAAUUGUUUUCUGAAUCACAAUCAAGACUCAGUGCUGGAACAGAUUUGAGGAAUGUAUACAAUUCUUAUCUAAACUAACGUCUGAUAUUUAACUAGGAAUCAACUUACUCUGGGGAGCUUUGUUGAGAGUAGAUUUUUUGAGGAAAGAAUUGAAGGAGUGGCCAUAUUCAUACUAGAAUAAAGCAUAGGAGAUGUCAAGAUUAUCUGAAGGGGAGAGAAGAGACACCAGAUACUUGCACACACAGAAGAAAUACCAUGUACAAACAUACCCAGAAGGCCACCAUCUGCAAGAAAAGGAGAGAGACCUCAGAAUACACCAAUGCUGUUGAAACCUUCAUCUUGGA